Molecule: long non-coding RNA, 709 nt
Filed under: Astyanax mexicanus (Mexican tetra)
Lineage: Eukaryota; Metazoa; Chordata; Actinopteri; Characiformes; Acestrorhamphidae
Description: lncRNA (ENSAMXG00005014231.1)
Source: RNAcentral
AGGGCAAGGAAAAGCAUUAUCAGUUUCAUCAAUGUCUUAAUCCUUAUCUUUUUCAUUAAACACACCUCAGCUAAACUACUGCAACUGGAAACCGGAUUGCUGUAAACAGGAGGGAUGUUUGAGUCUGAGGAGGGGAAAAUGAUGAGCGAUUUCUUUCCAUCUCCAGGAAAUUUGUUGCAGCCCAAACAUUUGCUGGUGUUCACUAAAGGAGAAAGCUUUUAGAAGCUGAACACAAAUGGGGCAUCAGAGUGCUUGGCAUUUGUGCUGAGGCAGAGCAAUUACUGGAUGUGUUCUCCUGUUUUCUGACAGUGCAUGAGAAACAACGAGUCCACAGGAAAGCCUUAAGGCUUUGUAGAGGAACCACCACUGUCAAGAGGAAUAGAGCUGUGCUCCAGCUGGACCAGGAAUACAACCUGAGAGACAGAGAGAACAGAGCCGACCGGUUCUCCAACACUGUAGACUCCUCCACUGUCAGAAACAAAUCGGUGCAUCAUGGUCCUCCACAUUCCCUGGCAACUGCAGGUAAACAUUUUGUUAGGUAAUGGUUAUGGUUCCCAGUCUGUGUGGUUUUUAGUGUGUGCAGAAUUUACUCAAUAGGCUAAAUACUAAUAAUUCAAGCAAUUCAUGUUUAAUUUGCAAAGUGAAAUACAGAACAUUCUGUUCAUCAGAUGUGAAAUACAGUUUUUUUUUUCAGCAACUCUAACACAGA